RNAcentral lists this ribosomal RNA (461 nucleotides) under uncultured bacterium. RNAcentral describes it as "partial 16S ribosomal RNA". It matches the Rfam family "Bacterial small subunit ribosomal RNA", at positions 338 to 795 of the family's 1533-position model. The record is from RNAcentral.
CCUACGGGGGGCAGCAGUGAGGAAUAUUGGUCAAUGGGCUUACGCCUGAACCAGCCAAGUCGCGUGAGGGAAGACUGCCCUAUGGGUUGUAAACCUCUUUUGUCAGGGAGCAACGCCGGCUACGUGUAGCCGGACUGAGAGUACCUGAAGAAAAAGCAUCGGCUAACUCCGUGCAAGCAGCCGCGGGAAUACGUAGGGGGCAAGCGUUAUCCGGAUUUACUGGGUGUAAUGGGGGCGCAGACGGCAAUGCAUGCCAGGAGUGAAAGCCCGGGGCCCAACCCCGGGACUGCUAUUGAUACUGCAUGGCUGGAGUGCAGGAGGGGUAGGAGGAAUUCGUAGUGUAGCGGUGAAAUGCGUAGAUAUUAGGAGGAACACCGGUGGCGAAGGCGGCCUGCUGGACUGUGACUGACGUUGAGGCCCGAAGGCGUGGGGAGCAAACAGGAUUAGAUACCCGAGUAGUC